GACGAACGCUGGCGGCGUGCUUAACACAUGCAAGUCGAACGGAAAGGCCCUGCUUUUGUGGGGUGCUCGAGUGGCGAACGGGUGAGUAACACGUGAGUAACCUGCCCUUGACUUUGGGAUAACUUCAGGAAACUGGGGCUAAUACCGGAUAGGAGCUCCUGCUGCAUGGUGGGGGUUGGAAAGUUUCGGCGGUUGGGGAUGGACUCGCGGCUUAUCAGCUUGUUGGUGGGGUAGUGGCUUACCAAGGCUUUGACGGGUAGCCGGCCUGAGAGGGUGACCGGCCACAUUGGGACUGAGAUACGGCCCAGACUCCUACGGGGGGCAGGAGUGGGGAAUAUUGCACAAGGGGCGGAAGCCUGAUGCAGAAACGCCGCGGGCGGGAGGACGGCCUUCGGGUUGUAAACCGCUUUCCCCUGGGCCGAAGCGUGAGUGGCGGUAAUGGGUAAAGAAGCACCGGCUAACUCCGU
RNAcentral lists this ribosomal RNA (467 nucleotides) under uncultured bacterium. Its description in RNAcentral is "partial 16S ribosomal RNA". It matches the Rfam family "Bacterial small subunit ribosomal RNA", at positions 28 to 506 of the family's 1533-position model. The record is from RNAcentral.